Molecule: ribosomal RNA, 1445 nt
Filed under: uncultured organism
Description: SSU rRNA
Rfam family: Bacterial small subunit ribosomal RNA
Source: RNAcentral
CUCAUGAUGAACGCUAGCUACAGGCUUAACACAUGCAAGUCGAGGGGCAGCAUGGUCUUAGCUUGCUAAGGCCGAUGGCGACCGGCGCACGGGUGAGUAACACGUAUCCAACCUGCCGUCUACUCUUGGACAGCCUUCUGAAAGGAAGAUUAAUACAAGAUGGCAUCAUGAGUCCGCAUGUUCACAUGAUUAAAGGUAUUCCGGUAGACGAUGGGGAUGCGUUCCAUUAGAUAGUAGGCGGGGUAACGGCCCACCUAGUCUUCGAUGGAUAGGGGUUCUGAGAGGAAGGUCCCCCACAUUGGAACUGAGACACGGUCCAAACUCCUACGGGAGGCAGCAGUGAGGAAUAUUGGUCAAUGGGCGCAGGCCUGAACCAGCCAAGUAGCGUGAAGGAUGACUGCCCUAUGGGUUGUAAACUUCUUUUAUAAAGGAAUAAAGUCGGGUAUGGAUACCCGUUUGCAUGUACUUUAUGAAUAAGGAUCGGCUAACUCCGUGCCAGCAGCCGCGGUAAUACGGAGGAUCCGAGCGUUAUCCGGAUUUAUUGGGUUUAAAGGGAGCGUAGAUGGAUGUUUAAGUCAGUUGUGAAAGUUUGCGGCUCAACCGUAAAAUUGCAGUUGAUACUGGAUAUCUUGAGUGCAGUUGAGGCAGGCGGAAUUCGUGGUGUAGCGGUGAAAUGCUUAGAUAUCACGAAGAACUCCGAUUGCGAAGGCAACCUGCUAAGCUGCAACUGACAUUGAGGCUCGAAAGUGUGGGUAUCAAACAGGAUUAGAUACCCUGGUAGUCCACACGGUAAACGAUGAAUACUCGCUGUUUGCGAUAUACUGCAAGCGGCCAAGCGAAAGCGUUAAGUAUUCCACCUGGGGAGUACGCCGGCAACGGUGAAACUCAAAGGAAUUGACGGGGGCCCGCACAAGCGGAGGAACAUGUGGUUUAAUUCGAUGAUACGCGAGGAACCUUACCCGGGCUUAAAUUGCAGAUGAAUUACGGUGAAAGCCGUAAGCCGCAAGGCAUCUGUGAAGGUGCUGCAUGGUUGUCGUCAGCUCGUGCCGUGAGGUGUCGGCUUAAGUGCCAUAACGAGCGCAACCCUUGUUGUCAGUUACUAACAGGUUCCGCUGAGGACUCUGACAAGACUGCCAUCGUAAGAUGUGAGGAAGGUGGGGAUGACGUCAAAUCAGCACGGCCCUUACGUCCGGGGCUACACACGUGUUACAAUGGGGGGUACAGAGGGCCGCUACCACGCGAGUGGAUGCCAAUCCCAAAAACCUCUCUCAGUUCGGACUGGAGUCUGCAACCCGACUCCACGAAGCUGGAUUCGCUAGUAAUCGCGCAUCAGCCACGGCGCGGUGAAUACGUUCCCGGGCCUUGUACACACCGCCCGUCAAGCCAUGGGAGCCGGGGGUACCUGAAGUGCGUAACCGCGAGGAGCGCCCUAGGGUAAAACUGGU